This 938-nucleotide long non-coding RNA is filed under the name Elaeis guineensis (African oil palm). RNAcentral's name for it is "long non-coding RNA (EGUI_LNC038036)". The record is from RNAcentral. Lineage: Eukaryota; Viridiplantae; Streptophyta; Magnoliopsida; Arecales; Arecaceae.
GCAGCGAGAAUUUGGAGCGGAGGUUGCAGUCGUCUUCUUAGUGCACUCAAAAAGCAGAUUUAAAAGAGAGCAAAGGAGAAGACAGAGCCGCCGUUGAAAGAAUUAAAUUCUCGAGAAGAUCGCUUACUGAGUGGUUCCAUCGAUCGCGAUCAUUCGCAAUAGCCCUACCCAUCAGGUUGACUUCAUCAGUCUUAAAUGUUGGGGAUACAUGUGAAAACGUGAGGAUGCACAUCCCUAGAUCCCAGGUAUGAUUUUAGAGGUACUUCUUCCGCUUGAUCUUAGACUCAAGCGUAGGGGGAUAGUGUUACGGUGGUACUACAGAUACCUCGGAUCAGUGUGAUACUUCAGAUCAGUGGGCUAUGCCGAUCCAAAUAUCGAGUUGAGGUAUAUGGAACCGAGCUAUUUGCAUCCAGUCUGAUGUGUGGCCUAUCUGACACGUAAGUUUCCUUCAUUAUCUCAGUCAAUUUUUUGGCACAUGCAGCAGCUGUCCAGCCUAAGUGGAUAAGCUCAGAUGUAAUUGACUCUCCAUAAUCUUGCGGGAGCAUAUAAAGGUUAGAAUAUCUCGCCUACAACAGUAUGUCCAACAAUCCGACAAUCUUGGAACUGUGCAUUUUCAUGGUUGUUCAACCGUAUUCUCUAUAAAUAACUAAGGCCCCGAGGAUCCAGGUAAGUAAUCCAUCUUAGCGAAUCACUUAUUGCUUUUGCUGUUCGCUGAUUCCUGACUUGAGUGUCGGAGGAUCCUCAUUGGAGCGAAAACCUCUGGCCCGGACUCUGUUUUGCAGGUCACUCCAGCAUCUCUGCGCAAGACCUAGCCACCCACCUUCUGACCUCAACCGGAACCAGCAGCAACAGUUAUGUUUGAAGAAUACAACUCCAAAUUGGUACAAGCCCAUGGGUCGUAUCAUGCAUCAAAUUCUGUGAUGUCAAUCCAUCAUGAG